UAAUCAACAGACACGAGUAGUCAAAGAGUAUACGUCUUAUUGAAAACGUGUUUUAGUCGUCUCAAGACGAUCAUAAUUACAGUUUAUUCACGAGCAAGGUUUAGUCAAAGCAGUCAUGAAGCAAGUAAUAUUACUUUUAUUUAUUUUCUUGGCUUUCGGCACCCUAGUAAACUCGAAAGCGUUACCACAAUUCGAUAAUGACUUUUUUAAGAGUGAUGAUGACUUUCCGAAAGGUUGGGACUUUAAAAACUGUAAUAAUUGCAAAAUUAUAGGAAAUGGACGAGAAAACACGAAUACAGUUUAUAUAAAAUCUGACAAGUAACAUAAGAGAGUCAUUUAUUUUUAAGCAAUAUAUUGUAUUAAAAGUAUAUAUGUGCAUUAAGUUAAUAUGAAAUAUUUUUUAUUUGUAAUAUAAAGGUACAGUUGUUGUGUUUUUUAUUUUGUCAGUAUAUUUAACUUAAUAUAAAGUAGUCUGUAUAUACGAGAGACGGUCUAUGUAACAUGCAUUUAUUUUUUUACAACCAUUUAUCCAAAACUAUACCAAAAGUAUCUUUUUUAUUGUAUUUAUUCUUAUCAUUGUAUCUUUUAUUGUCUAUAUUAAUAAGUAUUGCAGUUUUAUGUUAAUUAGACGGUCGAGGAGGAAAACUGCUGACAAGAUUCUCCAAGAUUGCCUUUUUGCCUCUGCGGAAUUUUUCAUUUUUUUGUUAUUAAUAAAAUAUUCCUCACUCUCGUGUUAAUAGAUCGAAUAGAUUAUGAAUGAAUAGAUCACUUCACUAAUUACACGAACAAACUCGCUAGUAGCAAAUACAUUUAAAAAAUUUCACUCAAAGACUCAUUCGAGUUAGUUCAAAAUAACAAAUGUAAUGUAAUUAUAAAAAGAAAUAGAACAGAUAUUGAGAAUAGUAUUAAAAAUAUAUAUCUUUCCACAUAUACUGUAAUAAAGUACAGUGAAGAAGUAAACACAGUAAAUAAAGGUAUUAUUACUGUAGAGUAGUCGGCCACUAGUCACCGAUUAUUCGACAAAAAACGCCAACUAUCCGGCUUCUUACUUUGUUUGUGUUUGUACAUAAAUAAAUAAAUUUUUUAUUGUUUA
Long non-coding RNA from Leptidea sinapis, 1093 nucleotides. RefSeq lists it as uncharacterized. The transcript has 3 exons. The record is from RefSeq and is a predicted model, not a curated record. NCBI's taxonomy places the organism in Eukaryota, Metazoa, Arthropoda, Insecta, Lepidoptera, Pieridae.